This is a long non-coding RNA of Meriones unguiculatus (Mongolian gerbil), 804 nucleotides long. RefSeq lists it as uncharacterized. NCBI's taxonomy places the organism in Eukaryota, Metazoa, Chordata, Mammalia, Rodentia, Muridae. The transcript has 3 exons. The record is from RefSeq and is a predicted model, not a curated record.
CUGGUUCCUAUUCAAAAUAUCUAUUACUAUUAUUCUUUAAAUUUGAGUUCUCCUUUGAACAUGUUAUUCUUUCAUGUAAAGAAUUGGGGAAAGUAAAUUUCAGCGAUGAAGCACUUGAACAAGGAGAGUUUCCUGGGAGAAAACAUCCAGGGCAUUAACAGUAGAAAGGAGAGGAUAAGAGAAGGAAGAAGUCAGAGGCUGCUCAGGAAAACCUGUGAAGGCUUGCUUCCACAGAUCUCAGGCAAGCUACCAAGCACGGCCUGUGCCCUUAUUUCUGCUGCUGCCUGGGCUCCAAUGAUUGAGCAUGCACGUUCAAGGCUAACCAUUGGGAAGAUACACUGAUCACCAGCUUCUACAAACAGAUUUCUCUGUGUAGACUUAGCUAUCCUGACUCACUUUGUAGACCAGGCUGGCCUCGAACUCACAGAGAUCUGUGAGAAGACUUGAGUCUUCUAUGUUGCAGCCUACCACUUGUUUCACAGUGUGGAUGUGCCAAUGUUGACCCAGUUUCCAGAUGACAGACAUGUUUGGCUUUUCUAUUACUCCUCUGCUAUAUUUACACAGGUAUGUAUUCACUGCCCUUACUGGACUUACUUUUCAACCUAUUUUUAUUUAAAUUUUCACCUAGAAACAGCUUAUACUUUAUCAACAAAACUCAACCAAUUCAGCCUCAGGUGAGACACCUUCCACGCUUUUCUGCUGCCUGCCAACUGUGCACCUCAAACACACAGGAACUCUGACUUAUCUGUGGUUAUGGAACAAGUAUUUGGAAACUCUUCACUUGAAUAUUAAAAAUGAGAUAAA